Non-coding RNA from Phalacrocorax carbo (great cormorant), 1837 nucleotides. The record is from RefSeq and is a predicted model, not a curated record. Lineage: Eukaryota; Metazoa; Chordata; Aves; Suliformes; Phalacrocoracidae.
CAAGGUGGAGGAAGUGGCCCACGCCAUCAGCGUGGACCAGCACAUCACCAAGUGCUUCCUCAAAGGCAGUGUGGGUGGGGCCCUCAUCCUUGGUCCCUGUGGGUGUCCCCUCCUGGGCCCACGUACUACACUUGGGCUGUCCCUGCUGCUUUGUCCCAAGAAGCACAAGGAAGAUUCCUGGGUCCACACCAGCCUUAAGGCCAGGACACCAUCUAGCCCGGCGGAACAGAUCUACCUGCAACUGGCUUGUCUCCUAUCAUCCCUGGUAGCCAGUGGGGUUGUUCCAGCUUGUCAUCUGCCUCUGGACGCUGGGGGUGGAGGCUUGUAAUGUCACCAUCCCUAAGGUAAAUUGUGGUGUCCCCAGCUGGCACUGUCUGGCCACGGUGCUCUGUUAGAACAGGCUUGGGGGGCAGCCAUCUCCAGAAAGAUGUCCUCAACCUGGUCUGUCUUUGAGGUUUCAACCCACUGGCAGUGGCUCAGCACUGGCAGCUCAGCUCCUGGCGUGACCUGCUGCCACACCUCUUGCCAGGUCCUCGAGCUCAACAACCACUGGUGCUGCCGCUUCACUGCCUGCAGCAUUGCCUGCCUCUUCAACACCAUCAUGGCCAAGAUCAUGCUGUUUGGCUUUACCUUCCAAAUGGACAUGGAGACACACAAGCUCUACCUCAGACCAGCAGCAGGAGGAAAAUUUACAGUCUGGGCCCCAGUGCAGCUCAACUUUCCCUCUUGGCCCAGGGAGUCAUCCAGCAUCCCCAUCAGCAAGUACCAGCUGGAUGAGGAUGCCCACCUGCACACUUAUGACCUCAGGGUGAAGAAUGAGCAGAUCAUGCAGGCCAUGUCCCAUGCCAUUGCCUCAGCUGGGGGGUAGGACCAGUGCACACCUGGGGUGUCCAGGACCAGCGUCAAGGCUUGGAGCAGAUCCCUGGUGCCAUCCCAGGCCUGGCAGGUGUGUCCCUGGGAGCCACACUCUGCUGUGGCUGAGCCAGUUUCCCUCGUGCCUGGUCUCUGUUGCCCACCUGUGCCACAGCUGGAAAGACAGGUUGGACUUGGUGUUGGCACUGAAGAUCUGCUGGAUGCUGGCCUCCUGAGACCUUGCUCAGCCUGGUCUGCAUUGCCUCAGACCCCUAGAAAAUCUGUGGCAACACCCAUGCCACCAUCUUCUGCACUGGUACAUCUGCACAUCAACAUCCUCGAGGUAAGAUACUCCAGCCUUGGCCAUGGUAACAGGAAGGACCCUGUGCCCUUGGCGAUAGUCCUUUCAGACAUCAGCCCUGCCAGUACCCUUCCCCUCUGAGGCUGCUUGUUCCUCACCCUUCAGCUCUGAUCUGUCCCAUGGAGCCUUUACCUUCACAACUACCUCCACCCAGGUGGCCACCAGGAUUUCCCAUCGGCAGAGUCCCUUGGCCUCUGUGGUCCAGGGCUGCUCUAUGCCACAGUUCCCACCCUUGGCAGCUCCCCUCAGGUGUUCUUCCAGGAGCUGGACUAUGAGCAAAUCUGCUCGGCUAUACUGGUGCUCCUAGCCUCUUAGUGGCUUGUAAUCCAGGUGGAGACCACUGGCAGGAAGAUGAAGCAGUACCACCCCCUUUCACCAGCACCAGUGCCCAGCUGGAUGUCCAGGUUCCUCCCAUGAAGAUAAAGCAAGGAUGUUUCUGUAGCUACAUCAUAAGAUAGCUGUGAAGAUGUGGUGUAUCUGCAUGUGGUGGGUACUGCUGACCGUGGAUGCAGAUGGGUGGGCUUCCCAGGGAGGGGGAUUUCCUCUCUCCAGGGCACUCAUUGAGGCAGGGCUCGUGUCUUUCAUUCCAGACUACCCUAAUAAAAAGACUUGCCUGCUUUGGGA